Molecule: ribosomal RNA, 1923 nt
Filed under: Triticum aestivum (bread wheat)
Lineage: Eukaryota; Viridiplantae; Streptophyta; Magnoliopsida; Poales; Poaceae
Description: partial small subunit ribosomal RNA
Source: RNAcentral
AUGAGCCUAAACCCACAGGCGGGCCGCGCCGCGGCACGCGCGGCAGAGCAUGGAGCCAUCGCCGGCCUGGCCGCCGCCACCUCCAGGAUCGCCUCCCACGGCCGCGCCGGCGACGCCGCCGCGGCGCGCGCCGUGUUCGACGCGAUGCCCCGCCGCGACGCCGUCGCCUGGAACGCCAUGCUCACCGCCUACGCCCGCGCCGGCCAGCCGCGCGCGGCCCUCGCGCUUUUCGCCGGCAUGGGCACGCUGGACGCCUUCUCCAUCACCGCAGCGCUCUCCGCGGCGGCGGCCCUCCGCUCGCCCGGCGCCGGCGCGCAGCUCCACGCCCGACUCCUCCGCAUCGGCCUGCGCGCGCCGCUCCCCGUCGGCAACGCGCUCGUCGCCAUGUACGCCAGGUGCGCCCGCGCGGACGACGCCGCGCGCGCCUUCCGGGAGAUGCGCGACCGCAACGCGCUGUCCUGGUGCUCGCUCCUCCACGCCUACGUCGCCUCGGGCCGCAUGGCGCUCGCGCGCGAGCUGUUCGACGAAAUGCCCGCUGGAAGCAUUAGCAGUGUUGCCUGGAACACGCUGCUCACGGGGUAUUCCCGCGGUGGCAAUGCCAAGCAGUGUCUGCUUCUGUUCAACGAGAUGCGGGUUUCCGGACUGUCUUGCGACGAUGCAACGCUCUGCAUUCUGAUCGACGCUUGCACGGAGCUGCGCUACCCAUCCACCGGCGUUGCAGUCCACAAGAUCGUUGUGCAGAGUGGCUGGAAUGCAAUCCCCGAAGUCAAUAACUCACUUAUUUCCUUCUACAGUAAGUUCAGCUUGCUAGAUCAGGCCGUCAAGAUCUUCGAGUCUAUGGAGAGUAGAACCGUUGUGUCCUGGAAUUCACUGAUCGAUGCAUACACAAGGCUUGGCCACAUUGAACAAGCUGCUGCUCUGUUUCAAAGUGCUCCUGAGACCAAUGACAUCUCCUGGACUUCGAUGAUUGGAGGUUUUGCGAGGAAUGGCUAUGCAGAUGAGGCCCUUGCACUAUUUGUCAAGAUGUUGGCACACAAGCAUAUCCGUCCCGAUGAUUUCACUUUUGGGGCCGUGCUUCAUGCUUGUGCUACCGCUGCUUCUCUGGCCAGUGGAAGGAUGAUCCAUGCCUGUGCAUUCCAAAGUGGUUUUGCUUCAUACUUGUAUGUGGCCAACAGCUUGAUGGACAUGUACGCCAAGUGUGGCGAUGUCGAGGCUGCAGGCAAUGUGUUCCAUGCCAUUCUUCAGAAGGACUCUGUCUCAUGGAACACCAUGCUGUUUGGGUUCGCGAUAAAUGGAUGGGCAAAGGAAGCAUUUACUGUGUAUGAAAGGAUGUUGUCCCACGAUGUUUGCCCUGAUGAAGUCACGUUCACAGGCCUGCUCACAGCCUGCAGCCAUUCUGGGCUCCUGGAGCAAGGGAGAACCUAUUUUGAGUCGAUGGUGUCUGUCCAUGGACUGAAGCCAACACCAGAGCAUCUAGCUUGCAUUCUCGACAUGUAUGCUAGAUCAGGUAACAUUGCAAAAGCCAUUGAGAUGCUGGACCAAUACUCUGAAACAGUUCAUACGCAUAGCAGCGAUAUGCGCGAGUCUCUGCUUAGUGCCUACUCAUCAGUUGACCUGGACGCAAGAAUCGGAAGGAAGGUGGGGAGCAGAAUGGUGUCAACGGAGCCUGUGAGAGACACUGGCUAUGUGGUGCUGUCCAACUUGUUGUGCGCCACUGGACAGUGGAAGGAAGCCGAGGGGGUGAGAAGGGCCAUGGCAGAGCAUGGUGUCAAGAAGUCUCCUGGCUGUAGCUGGAUCCACGUGAAGGGUGCUGCUAAGGUGUUUGCAUCAGGUGGGCAGGAACUUGAUCCAUCAGAUAGAAUAUGCGAUAUCAUUCAGUUGUUGGAUGAAGAAAUGAGAAAUACUAUGUGUUGCGGUGCAUAA